CUACGGGUGGCACCAGUGAGGAAUUUUGCGCAAUGGGGGAAACCCUGACGCAGCAACGCCGCGUGAGUGAAGAAGGCCUUUGGGUCGUAAAGCUUUGUCAACAAGGAAGAAAUUACAAUUAUUUAAUAGGUGAUUGUAUUGACGGUACUUGUGGAGGAAGCGCCGGCUAACUCCGUGCCAGCAGCCGCGGUAACACAGGGGGCGCAAGCGUUAUUCGGAAUUAUUGGGCGUAAAGGGCGCGCAGGCGGUCUUGUCAGUCAGGUGUGAAAGCCCGGGGCUCAACCCUGGAAGUGCACUUGAAACAGCAAGACUUGAAUACGGGAGAGGAGAGAGGAAUUCCUGGUGUAGAGGUGAAAUUCGUAGAUAUCAGGAGGAACACCGAUGGCGAAGGCAUCUCUCUGGACCGAUAUUGACGCUGAGGCGCGAAGGCGUGGGUAGCGAACGGGAUUAGAUACCCCGGUAGUC
This 465-nucleotide ribosomal RNA is filed under the name uncultured bacterium. Its description in RNAcentral is "partial 16S ribosomal RNA". It matches the Rfam family "Bacterial small subunit ribosomal RNA", at positions 339 to 795 of the family's 1533-position model. The record is from RNAcentral.